Molecule: ribosomal RNA, 1012 nt
Filed under: Salmonella enterica
Lineage: Bacteria; Pseudomonadati; Pseudomonadota; Gammaproteobacteria; Enterobacterales; Enterobacteriaceae
Description: partial 23S ribosomal RNA
Rfam family: Bacterial large subunit ribosomal RNA
Source: RNAcentral
AGACCCGAAACCCGGUGAUCUAGCCAUGGGCAGGUUGAAGGUUGGGUAACACUAACUGGAGGACCGAACCGACUAAUGUUGAAAAAUUAGCGGAUGACCUGUGGCUGGGGGUGAAAGGCCAAUCAAACCGGGAGAUAGCUGGUUCUCCCCGAAAGCUAUUUAGGUAGCGCCUCGUGAAUUCAUCUCCGGGGGUAGAGCACUGUUUCGGCUAGGGGGCCAUCCCGGCUUACCAACCCGAUGCAAACUGCGAAUACCGGAGAAUGUUAUCACGGGAGACACACGGCGGGUGCUAACGUCCGUCGUGAAGAGGGAAACAACCCAGACCGCCAGCUAAGGUCCCAAAGUCAUGGUUAAGUGGGAAACGAUGUGGGAAGGCCCAGACAGCCAGGAUGUUGGCUUAGAAGCAGCCAUCAUUUAAAGAAAGCGUAAUAGCUCACUGGUCGAGUCGGCCUGCGCGGAAGAUGUAACGGGGCUAAACCAUGCACCGAAGCUGCGGCAGCGACGCUGAUGCGUUGUUGGGUAGGGGAGCGUUCUGUAAGCCUGCGAAGGUGGCCUGUGAGGGUUGCUGGAGGUAUCAGAAGUGCGAAUGCUGACAUAAGUAACGAUAAAGCGGGUGAAAAGCCCGCUCGCCGGAAGACCAAGGGUUCCUGUCCAACGUUAAUCGGGGCAGGGUGAGUCGACCCCUAAGGCGAGGCCGAAAGGCGUAGUCGAUGGGAAACGGGUUAAUAUUCCCGUACUUGGUGUUACUGCGAAGGGGGGACGGAGAAGGCUAUGUUGGCCGGGCGACGGUUGUCCCGGUUUAAGCGUGUAGGUGUGUGUUCCAGGUAAAUCCGGUUCACUUUAACACUGAGGCGUGACGACGAGGCACUACGGUGCUGAAGCAACAAAUGCCCUGCUUCCAGGAAAAGCCUCUAAGCAUCAGGUAACAUCAAAUCGUACCCCAAACCGACACAGGUGGUCAGGUAGAGAAUACCAAGGCGCUUGAGAGAACUCGGGUGAAGGAACUAGGCAA